GAUCAUGGCUCAGGAUGAACGCUAGCGACAGGCUUAACACAUGCAAGUCGAGGGGCAGCAUGAUUUGUAGCAAUACAGAUUGAUGGCGACCGGCGCACGGGUGAGUAACACGUAUCCAACCUUCCCGUUACUCUGGAAUAGCCUUUCGAAAGAAAGAUUAAUACCGGAUAGUAUCGAGAGAUUGCAUGAUUACCCGAUUAAAGAUUCAUCGGUAACGGAUGGGGAUGCGUU
RNAcentral lists this ribosomal RNA (231 nucleotides) under uncultured bacterium. RNAcentral describes it as "partial 16S ribosomal RNA". It matches the Rfam family "Bacterial small subunit ribosomal RNA", at positions 15 to 237 of the family's 1533-position model. The record is from RNAcentral.